GCUCCCGGCAGGCUCUGGGCUGGGUGGGGCUGCAACGCGCCUGCGCGCCGCCUGGGGGAGCCCGGGGCACGCGGCCGGCGGCGCGGGGCUGCGUGGGCGUUCGGUCCGGUCCGGUCCGGUUCGGUUCAAUCCGGUCCGGUCCGGCGCGCGCGGUCUGCGCGGCCCGCGGGGCUCCUCUGUGUGGCCAAGCGUGGCCAUCACCCGAAGCACAGGGUGCAGCCGGCUCUACUCUGGAUUUCCUGGAUGUCUGCGAGGGACUAGCCAUGACUGUGCUGCGAGGAAGAGGGGCCACGAGGCAUGAGGGCUGGACACGUGCUGGUGACGUGGCUCACGCUCCUCGUGGCGGUACCGGGGUCUCUCUUCCAAACAAAGUCAGGAUCCAUCAAUGCCCUGGCUUCAAACAGGACCCGCAAACACCUGACGGCCUUUGCAGAAGCUCCUCCAGCCCCUGGUGAUGUUAAAUUAAAUUUUUGCCAGAUGAAUAAUUUUCACCGAAAGGGAAAUUGCUAAAGAAAGGGCCUGCUCAUUAAAGAAAGUUAAAUUCCCGA
Long non-coding RNA from Dromaius novaehollandiae (emu), 548 nucleotides. RefSeq lists it as uncharacterized. Lineage: Eukaryota; Metazoa; Chordata; Aves; Casuariiformes; Dromaiidae. The transcript has 2 exons. The record is from RefSeq and is a predicted model, not a curated record.